Molecule: ribosomal RNA, 622 nt
Filed under: uncultured archaeon
Lineage: Archaea
Description: bacterial SSU rRNA
Rfam family: Archaeal small subunit ribosomal RNA
Source: RNAcentral
CCGACGGUGAGGGGUGAAGGCUGGGGGCGCAAACCGGAUUAGAUACCCGGGUAGUCCCAGCAGUAAACGAUGCCAGCUAUGUGUUGCUGGAACCAUGGGUUCCAGCAGUGCCGAAGGGAAGCCGUGAAGCUGGCCACCUGGGAAGUACGGUCGCAAGGCUGAAACUUAAAGGAAUUGGCGGGGGAGUACCACAACCGGUGGAGCCUGCGGUUUAAUUGGAUACAACGCCGGGAAUCUUACCGGAGGGGACAGCAGUAUGAAGGCCAGGCUAAAGACCUUGCCAGAUCAGCUGAGAGGAGGUGCAUGGCCGUCGCCAGUUCGUACCGUGAGGCAUCCUGUUUAGUCAGGCAACGAUCGAGACCCGCAGUCUUAUUUGCCAGCAUGCCCUUUGGGGUGUAUGGGUACAAUAAGACGACCGCCAGCGCUAAGCUGGAGGAAGGAGCGGGCUACGGUAGGUCAGCAUGCCCCGAAUCCUCCGGGAUACACGCGGGCUACAAUGGUCAGGACAAAAGGUACCGACCUCGAAAGAGUGAGGUAAUCCACAAACCUGAUCUCAGUCCGGAUCGAAGGCUGCAACUCGCCUUCGUGAAGAUGGAAUCGGUAGUAAUCGUGACUCAAAAUG